UGGGGAAUCUUGGACAAUGGGCGCAAGCCUGAUCCAGCCAUGCCGCGUGAGUGAAGAAGGCCUUCGGGUUGUAAAGCUCUUUCGCCUGUGAGGAUAAUGACCGUAGCAGGUAAAGAAGCCCCGGCAAACUUCGUGCCAGCAGCCGCGGUAAUACGAAGGGGGCUAGCGUUGUUCGGAAUUACUGGGCGUAAAGCGCAUGUCGGCGGUCCGGAUAGUCAGGCGUGAAAGCCCGGGGCUCAACCUCGGAAUUGCGCUUGAUACUGACGGACUAGAGACUCGGAGAGGGUGGUGGAAUUCCUGGUGUAGAGGUGAAAUUCGUAGAUAUCAGGAGGAACACCGAUGGCGAAGGCAGCCACCUGGCCGAGUUCUGACGCUCAGAUGCGAAAGCGUGGGGAGCAAACA
This 402-nucleotide ribosomal RNA is filed under the name uncultured bacterium. Its description in RNAcentral is "bacterial SSU rRNA". It matches the Rfam family "Bacterial small subunit ribosomal RNA", at positions 355 to 774 of the family's 1533-position model. The record is from RNAcentral.